This 84-nucleotide small RNA is filed under the name Flavobacterium caeni. RNAcentral's name for it is "Flavo-1 RNA". It matches the Rfam family "Flavo-1 RNA". The record is from Rfam by way of RNAcentral. Lineage: Bacteria; Pseudomonadati; Bacteroidota; Flavobacteriia; Flavobacteriales; Flavobacteriaceae.
CCCUAGCCCCGAUUGCAGCAAGUAUCCUUUUAUGGCCGAGCGCCAGCGAGGCCGUAAAAGAUACUGCGGAAAGCGGGAACCAGC